CGAUUGAGUUGAUUACGUGUUCAUUUUUCUUUACACUUCAGGUCGGUCUGGCUCAACAUUUUUCACUUAACCUUUUUUUCCUCAUUUUUAAAUUGUUCCUGCUCUUGUAGACGUUUAUUCAACAUCUAAUUGUUAAUCAGUUUUUAUCCUCUUCUAACAUUUUAUUUAAUUUGUCUCUUCACUUUACUUUAUUCUUUCCCUUAUGUAAGAUGUAAGGUUUACACAUUUACACAAACACACAUUCAUAUAACAGCCAUAGAUACAUACCAUGUAUAUUUAACCGUACGUGUUACUCUUUUUGACUAAUCCACACACUCAACUUUACUGAAGGAUCAAUCUCCUUUUUUUCAUUUCCAGUGUGUACCAGGGACAAACAAAACUGGUUUUCACAAUGGUUUGACAGAAAACAUUUGAUUAUUCUGAGAUCAUUGUGAAAGCUGUUUCUGUAGUCUCGUCCCCAUCAUCAUCGUCGUGAAAAAAAGUAGAUUCUCAAGUUUAUUUUAGGCCUCAACGUUAUGUACAUAAUGAUAUACAGCCUUAGGCCUUUAAACUGAGGAACAACUUUUUUGGAUCUACAUCCUCUUAUAGCUUUUGAACGUGAAAAUUUCAUCUCGUUGAAUAACGAAUGGACGAUUUCUUUUGGAGGAUUUCAGUGAAUCGAUUCUAGUCACUAUUCUGGUUGUCACACUUAUCCCAAUUAAACGAGAACUGUAUCAUUUGUACUUCUAGACAGAGGAAUUUGUAAAAAUCAUUGAGAAUUAUUAGUAUUUCCGGCCAACAGCAGAGACUAAUAAAUUAUUAACAAGAUUAAAUGUCAUUGUUAAUAUUUUAACACAAAAAGAAAA
Non-coding RNA from Tetranychus urticae (two-spotted spider mite), 845 nucleotides. The record is from RefSeq and is a predicted model, not a curated record. NCBI's taxonomy places the organism in Eukaryota, Metazoa, Arthropoda, Arachnida, Trombidiformes, Tetranychidae.